Molecule: transfer RNA, 71 nt
Filed under: Salix viminalis (osier)
Lineage: Eukaryota; Viridiplantae; Streptophyta; Magnoliopsida; Malpighiales; Salicaceae
Source: RNAcentral
GUGACUUUGACCGAGUGGUUAAGGCGUGCGCUCCUAAGAUCCCCGCGAGAGUUCGAAUCUCGUCAGCCACA